GAGGCCUAACACAUGCAAGCCGGGCGGGAUCCCUUCGGGGUGAGAGCGGCGUACGGGUGAGGAGCACGUGUGCAACCUGCCCCUGUCUGGGGGAUAGCCCUCCGAAAGGAGGAUUAACACCCCAUAGGAUGUUCGCCGGCAUCGGCGGUCAUUGAAAGGUUACGGACGGGGAUGGGCACGCGCAGGAUUAGGUAGUUGGCAGGGUAACGGCCUACCAAGCCUUUGAUCCUUAGGGGGCCUGAGAGGGUGAUCCCCCACACUGGUACUGAGACACGGACCAGACUCCUACGGGAGGCAGCAGUGAGGAAUAUUGGACAAUGGGUGGAAGCCUGAUCCAGCCAUCCCGCGUGAAGGACUAAGGGCCUAUGGCCUGUAAACUUCUUUUGUACGGGGAUAAACCUAUCUACGCGUAGAUAGCUGAAGGUACCGUACGAAUAAGCACCGGCUAACUCCGUGCCAGCAGCCGCGGUAAUACGGAGGGUGCGAGCGUUAUCCGGAUUUAUUGGGUUUAAAGGGUCCGUAGGCGGGCCUGUAAGUCGGAGGUGAAAUCCCGCGGCUCAACCGCGGAACCGCCUUCGAUACUGCGGGUCUUGAGUAGGCUUGAGGCGGCCGGAAUGAGUGGUGUAGCGGUGAAAUGCAUAGAUAUCACUCAGAACACCGAUAGCGAAGGCAGGUCGCCAAGGCCUUACUGACGCUGAUGGACGAAAGCGUGGGGAGCGAACAGGAUUAGAUACCCUGGUAGUCCACGCCGUAAACGAUGCUCACUCGUUCUCGGGCGUUAUCGUUCGGGGGCUAAGCGAAAGUGAUAAGUGAGCCACCUGGGGAGUACGGGCGCAAGCCUGAAACUCAAAGGAAUUGACGGGGGCCCGCACAAGCGGUGGAUUAUGUGGUUUAAUUCGAUGAUACGCGAGGAACCUUACCAGGGCUUAAAUGGGGGCCGACCGGCGCAGAGAUGCGCCUUUCUUCGGACGGUCUUCAAGGUGCUGCAUGGUUGUCGUCAGCUCGUGCCGUGAGGUGUUAGGUUAAGUCCUGCAACGAGCGCAACCCCUGCCGCCAGUUGCCAUCAUUAAGUUGGGGACUCUGGCGGGACUGCCUACGCAAGUAGCGAGGAAGGCGGGGACGACGUCAAAUCAUCACGGCCCUUACGCCCUGGGCCACACACGUAAUACAAUGGCCGGUACAGAGGGCAGCCACGCGGCGACGCGGAGCGAAUCUCGAAAGCCGGUCUCAGUUCGGAUUGGAGUCUGCAACUCGACUCUAUGAAGCUGGAAUCGCUAGUAAUCGCGCAUCAGCCAUGGCGCGGUGAAUACGUUCCCGGGCCUUGUACACACCGCCCGUCAAGCCAUGGAAGUCCGGGGUACCUGAAGUCGGUGACCGUAAAAGGAGCUGCCUAGGGUAAAACGGGUAACUAGGGCUAAGUCGUAACAAGGUAGCCGUACCGGAAGGUGCGGCUGGAACAUCUCAUUUUAGAGGCUUUAUCAAGUCAAUAAGCACACGGUCCUUCAUGGGCCCCGCGCGCCGGGGGGCGCCGCCCG
This 1535-nucleotide ribosomal RNA is filed under the name Cruoricaptor ignavus. RNAcentral's name for it is "16S ribosomal RNA". It matches the Rfam family "Bacterial small subunit ribosomal RNA". The record is from RNAcentral. Lineage: Bacteria; Pseudomonadati; Bacteroidota; Flavobacteriia; Flavobacteriales; Weeksellaceae.